This 88-nucleotide transfer RNA is filed under the name Alphaproteobacteria bacterium. RNAcentral describes it as "tRNA-Ser". It matches the Rfam family "tRNA". Rfam says of the family: Transfer RNA (tRNA) molecules are approximately 80 nucleotides in length. Their secondary structure includes four short double-helical elements and three loops (D, anti-codon, and T loops). The record is from RNAcentral. RNAcentral also lists the same sequence under 1 other name. Lineage: Bacteria; Pseudomonadati; Pseudomonadota; Alphaproteobacteria.
GGAGGGAUGGCCGAGCGGCUUAAGGCGCACGCCUGGAAAGCGUGUUCACCGAAAGGUGUCGGGGGUUCGAAUCCCCCUCCCUCCGCCA